Molecule: ribosomal RNA, 2068 nt
Filed under: human gut metagenome
Description: bacterial LSU rRNA
Rfam family: Bacterial large subunit ribosomal RNA
Source: RNAcentral
UCCAAUCGAACCCGGAGAUAGCUGGUUCUCCCCGAAAUAGCUUUAGGGCUAGCGUUAUGGAGAAGAGUUAUACGAAGGUAGAGCACUGAAUGGGUGAGGGCCUCAUCUCGAGGUACUGAUCUCAAUCAAACUCCGAAUGUCGUAUAAUAUACAUAGCAGUAAGACUAUGGGUGAUAAGGUUCAUAGUCAAAAGGGAAACAGCCCAGACCGCCAGUUAAGGUCCCAAAAUUAUGCUAAGUGGGAAAGGAGGUGGAGUCGCAUAGACAACUAGGAGGUUGGCUUAGAAGCAGCCAUCCUUUAAAGAGUGCGUAAUAGCUCACUAGUCGAGUGAUUCUGCGCCGAAAAUGUAUCGGGGCUAAGCAUAAUACCGAAGCUGCGGGAUUAGACAAAGAGUCUAAUCGGUAGGGGAGCGUACUAAACGCGAAGAAGGUUGACCGGAAGGGCAGCUGGAGAGUUUAGCAGUGAGAAUGCCGGUGUGAGUAGCGAUAAGAUGGGUGAGAAUCCCAUCCGUCGGAAGCCUAAGGGUUCCAGGGGUAAGGCUCGUCCGCCCUGGGUAAGUCGGGACCUAAGGUGAGGCCGAAAGGCGUAGCCGAUGGAUAUCAGGUUGAUAAUCCUGGACCACCGUAGAGCUGAAGGAGUGACGGAGGAGGGAAGUUAGGAUGGACUGGUGGAAUAGUCUAAUGAAGCACAAAGAGGGAUACGUAGGAAAAGCCGCGUAUUGAAACCUUGAAGUGUAAACCGCAAGGCCUAAUGGACCACACUUCCAAGAAAAGCUUCUAGGAGUACUUUAUGGUGCCCGUACCGUAAACGGACACACGUAGGCGAGGAGAGAAUCCAAAGACGCGCGAGAUAAUUCUUGUUAAGGAACUCUGCAAAAUGACCCUGUAACUUCGGGAUAAAGGGGACUCUAGAGAUAGAGGCGCAGAAAAUAGGCCCAAGCGACUGUUUAACAAAAACAUAGGUUUCUGCUAAAGCGAAAGCUGAUGUAUAGGAGCUGACGCCUGCCCAGUGCUGGAAGGUUAAGAGGAGAUGUAAGUCGCAAGGCAAAGCAUUGAAUUGAAGCCCCAGUAAACGGCGGCCGUAACUAUAACGGUCCUAAGGUAGCGAAAUUCCUUGUCAGGUAAGUUCUGACCCGCACGAAAGGCGUAACGAUUUGGGCGCUGUCUCAACAAGAAACUCGGUGAAAUCAUAGUACCUGUGAAGAUGCAGGUUACCCGCGAUCAGACGGAAAGACCCCAUGGAGCUUCACUGCAGCUUAAUAUUGAUAUUGGGUGUGUGAUGUACAGGAUAGGUGGGAGACGAAGAAGCGAGUACGCUAGUAUUCGUGGAGUCAACGUUGGGAUACCACCCUUCAUACAUUUAGUAUCUAACUAGUAUCCAUAAUCUGGGUAUAGAACAGUGUUAGGUGGGCAGUUUGACUGGGGCGGUCGCCUCCCAAAGAGUAACGGAGGCGCCCAAAGGUUCCCUCAGAAUGGUUGGAAAUCAUUCAAAGAGUGCAAAGGCAGAAGGGAGCUUGACUGCGAGACGGACAGGUCGAGCAGGAACGAAAGUUGGGCUUAGUGAACCGGCUGUGCUGAAUGGAAAGGCAGUCGAUCAACGGACAAAAGCUACCCUGGGGAUAACAGGCUGAUCUCCCCCAAGAGUUCACAUCGACGGGGAGGUUUGGCACCUCGAUGUCGGCUCAUCGCAUCCUGGAGCUGAAGUCGGUUCCAAGGGUUGGGCUGUUCGCCCAUUAAAGCGGUACGCGAGCUGGGUUCAGAACGUCGUGAGACAGUUCGGUCCCUAUCUGUCGUGGGCGUAGGAAAUUUGAAGGGAGUCGUCCCUAGUACGAGAGGACCAGGAUGAACGUACCGCUGGUGAAUCAGUUGGCCUGCCAGGGCCACAGCUGGGUAGCUACGUACGGACGGGAUAAACGCUGAAAGCAUCUAAGCGUGAAGCCCCCCCUGAGAUGAGAUUUCCCAUUAGAAAUAAGUAAGACCCCUUAGAGAUGAUGAGGUAGAUAGGUCAGAGAUGUAAGCACUGUGAGGUGUUGAGUUGACUGAUACUAAUAGGUCGAGGACUUAACCUU